Ictidomys tridecemlineatus (thirteen-lined ground squirrel) is the source of this 136-nucleotide small nucleolar RNA. Its record names the gene SNORA63. It matches the Rfam family "Small nucleolar RNA SNORA63". From Rfam's summary of the family: E3 belongs to the H/ACA class of snoRNAs and is involved in the processing of eukaryotic pre-rRNA and has regions of complementarity to 18S rRNA. The record is from Ensembl. NCBI's taxonomy places the organism in Eukaryota, Metazoa, Chordata, Mammalia, Rodentia, Sciuridae.
AAGCCAUUUCUGUCUCAUCACAGUCAAAGCUCUUGAGUUUUGUGUUGUCAUUCCCCCUGCUCAGAAUAAAGUUGUUUCUUAUCUAGACCCAUCAACUAUGCCCCUGUAGCAGCCAGGGGUGCAUGAUCUCAUACAU